RNAcentral lists this ribosomal RNA (503 nucleotides) under uncultured Glomus. RNAcentral's name for it is "SSU rRNA". It matches the Rfam family "Eukaryotic small subunit ribosomal RNA", at positions 569 to 1077 of the family's 1831-position model. The record is from RNAcentral. Lineage: Eukaryota; Fungi; Glomeromycota; Glomeromycetes; Glomerales; Glomeraceae.
AGCAGCCGCGGUAAUUCCAGCUCCAAUAGCGUAUAUUAAAGUUGCUGCAGUUAAAAAGCUCGUAGUUGAAUUUCGGGAUCAAUAUGUUGGUCGUGCCUCGGUACGUACUAGCUUAUUGGUUUCUCCCUUCUGACGAACCAUGAUGUCAUUUAUUUGGUGUUAUGGGGAAUCAGGACUGUUACUUUGAAAAAAUUAGAGUGUUUAAAGCAGGCUUACGCUUGAAUACAUUAGCAUGGAAUAAUGAAAUAGGACGUUUGAUUCUAUUUUGUUGGUUUCUAGGAUCGACGUAAUGAUUAAUAGGGAUAGUUGGGGGCAUUAGUAUUCAAUUGUCAGAGGUGAAAUUCUUGGAUUUAUUGAAGACUAACUACUGCGAAAGCAUUUGCCAAGGAUGUUUUCAUUAAUCAAGAACGAAAGUUAGGGGAUCGAAGACGAUCAGAUACCGUCGUAGUCUUAACCAUAAACUAUAGCCGACUAGGGAUCGGAUGAUGUUUAAUUUUUAAUGA